GUGCUCGUUUCGCGGCACAUAUACUAAAAUUGGAACGAUAAAGAGACGAUUAGCAUGGCCCAUGCACAAGGAUGACAUGCAAAUUCGUGAGGCAUUCCAUUUUUUA
RNAcentral lists this small nuclear RNA (106 nucleotides) under Dasypus novemcinctus (nine-banded armadillo). The record is from RNAcentral. Lineage: Eukaryota; Metazoa; Chordata; Mammalia; Cingulata; Dasypodidae.